This 233-nucleotide ribosomal RNA is filed under the name uncultured bacterium. RNAcentral describes it as "partial 16S ribosomal RNA". It matches the Rfam family "Bacterial small subunit ribosomal RNA", at positions 15 to 246 of the family's 1533-position model. The record is from RNAcentral.
GAUCAUGGCUCAGGAUGAACGCUAGCGGCAGGCUUAACACAUGCAAGUCGAGGGGCAGCAUAAUGGUAGUAAUACUAUUGAUGGCGACCGGCGGACGGGUGCGUAACGCGUAUGCAACCUACCCUUUACAGGGGGAUAACACUGAGAAAUCGGUACUAAUACCCCAUAAUAUUCUGGGAGGCAUUUCGUGUGUAGACUUGUUGGUAAGGAAGUGGCGAUGCGUGUUAUUAGUC